RNAcentral lists this ribosomal RNA (406 nucleotides) under uncultured bacterium. RNAcentral describes it as "partial 16S ribosomal RNA". It matches the Rfam family "Bacterial small subunit ribosomal RNA", at positions 30 to 526 of the family's 1533-position model. The record is from RNAcentral.
AUUGAACGCUGGCGGCAGGCCUAACACAUGCAAGUCGAACGAGUGGCGGACGGGUGAGUAAUGUCUGGGAAACUGCCUGAUGGAGGGGGAUAAAUACUGGAAACGGUAGCUAAUACCGCAUACCAUCAGAUGUGCCCAUAUGUGAUUAGCUGGUUGGGGGGGGAACGGCUCACCAAGGCGACGAUCCCUAUCUGGUCUGAGAGGAUGACCAUCAACACUGGAACUGAGACCCGGUCCAGACUCCUCCGUGAGGCAGCAGUGGGGAAUAUUGCACAAUGGGCGCAGUCCUGAGGCAGCCAUGCCGCGGGUAUGAAGAAGGCCUUCGGGUUGUAAAGUACUUUCAGCGGGGAGGCGUUACCCGCAGAAGAAGCACCGGCUAACUCCGUGCCAGCAGCCGCGGUAAUUC